AUACGGAGGGUGCAAGCGUUACUCGGAAUCACUGGGCGUAAAGCGCGCGCAGGCGGUCUUUUAAGUUGGAUGUGAAAGCCUACGGCUCAACCGUAGAACUGCAUCCAAAACUAUUAGACUAGAGUGUGGGAGAGGAAGAUGGAAUUAGUUGUGUAGGGGUAAAAUCCGUAGAGAUAACUAGGAACACCAAAAGCGAAGGCAAUCUUCUGGAACACUACUGACGCUGAGGCGCGAAAGCGUGGGGAGCAAACAGGAUUAGAAACCCUAGUAGUCC
Molecule: ribosomal RNA, 274 nt
Filed under: uncultured bacterium
Lineage: Bacteria
Description: partial 16S ribosomal RNA
Rfam family: Bacterial small subunit ribosomal RNA
Source: RNAcentral